UAGGGAAUCUUCGGCAAUGGACGAAAGUCUGACCGAGCAACGCCGCGUGAGUGAAGAAGGUUUUCGGAUCGUAAAACCCUGUUGGUAGAGAAGAACGUUGGUGAGAGUGGAAAGCUCAUCAAGUGACGGUAACUACCCAGAAAGGGACGGCUAACUACGUGCAAG
This 165-nucleotide ribosomal RNA is filed under the name uncultured bacterium. Its description in RNAcentral is "partial 16S rRNA". It matches the Rfam family "Bacterial small subunit ribosomal RNA", at positions 355 to 511 of the family's 1533-position model. The record is from RNAcentral.